GAGUCUAGCCUGCCCAUUGAAUAAUUUUAAAAGGCCGCGGUAUAUUAACUGUGCAAAGGUAGCAUAAUCAUUAGUUUUUUAAUUGAAGGCUUGUAUGAAGGGUUGGACAAAGAAUAAUCUGUUUCUAUUUUUGUUUUUGAAUUUGACUUUUAAGUUAAAAGGCUUAAUUGAAUUUAAGGGACGAUAAGACCCUAUAAAUCUUUAUAUUAAAUUAUUUUUAGUUAAUUAAUAAUGUAAUUUUAACAGUAAAAUAAAAUAUAUUGUGUUGGGGUGAUGAGAAUAUAAAAUUAACUGUUCUAAAUUGAAAACAAAUUUAUUUGAAUUAAUAAUAGAUCCUUAAUAGAGAUUAAAAGUUUAAGUUACUUUAGGGAUAACAGCGUUAUUUUUUUUUGAGAGUUCAUAUCGAAAAAAAAGUUUGCGACCUCGAUGUUGAAUUAAAAGUUCUUUGUGGUGUAGGUGCUACAAAAGAAAGUCUGUUCGACUUUU
This 486-nucleotide ribosomal RNA is filed under the name Grimothea gregaria. Its description in RNAcentral is "Munida gregaria partial large subunit ribosomal RNA". It matches the Rfam family "Bacterial large subunit ribosomal RNA", at positions 1850 to 2589 of the family's 2925-position model. Lineage: Eukaryota; Metazoa; Arthropoda; Malacostraca; Decapoda; Munididae. The record is from RNAcentral.